This is a long non-coding RNA of Daphnia carinata, 410 nucleotides long. RefSeq lists it as uncharacterized. Lineage: Eukaryota; Metazoa; Arthropoda; Branchiopoda; Diplostraca; Daphniidae. The transcript has 4 exons. The record is from RefSeq and is a predicted model, not a curated record.
UUUAUCGCAAUUUUCAAGAAAGGAUGGGUAAGUGAAAAAGGCAACCUAGUGACUCCAUUUGCCUCUAUUCGAUCACUCUUCUCUGCAGCCCACUCUCGAGUCCAGCUGCAUCAUGAGAGCAAAGUGGCGUAAGAAGCGUAUGCGCAGGCUUAAGCGUAAGCGCAGGAAGAUGCGCGCUCGUUCCAAGUAAAUCCAUCCUCACACUCGCAGUCACAUGGAAGCAGAGUGGCAGUCUGAUUUUUAGGUAAUUCUGAAUCGGUUGUCAUUCCAAUCCCUGAAAACUAAGACCACCAUACGAGUUCUAUCUUGGAAAAGCUGCUGAAAUUUUGGCUGUAAAAAAAUUACCUCUUGUGAAAUGUCAUUCAUAUUUGAACAAUGUGCAUCAAUAAAGAUUUGUCUUUUCACAAGAA